UUGGAGGGCAAGUCUGGUGCCAGCAGCCGCGGUAAUUCCAGCUCCAAUAGCGUAUAUUAAAGUUGUUGCAGUUAAAAAGCUCGUAGUUGAAUUUCGGGAUCAAUGUUUCGGUCAUGCCGUUGGUAUGUACUGAUAUUAUUGAUUUCUCACCUUCUAAAGAACCGUAAUGCCAUUAAUUUGGUGUCACGGGGAAUUAGGACUGUUACCUUGAAAAAAUUAGAGUGUUUAAAGCAGGCUUACGCUUGAAUACAUUAGCAUGGAAUAAUGAAAUAGGACAUCCGAUUCUAUUUUGUUGGUUUCUAGGAUCGAUGUAAUGAUUAAUAGGGAUAGUUGGGGGCAUUAGUAUUCAAUUGUCAGAGGUGAAAUUCUUGGAUUCAUUGAAGACUAACUACUGCGAAAGCAUUUGCCAAGGAUGUUUUCAUUAAUCAAGAACGAAAGUUAGGGGAUCGAARACGACCAGAUACCGUCGUAGUCUUAACCAUAAACUAUGCCGACUAGGGAUCGGAUGAUGUUAAUUUUUUAAUGACUCAUUCGGCGCCUUACGGGAAACCAAAG
Molecule: ribosomal RNA, 555 nt
Filed under: uncultured Glomus
Lineage: Eukaryota; Fungi; Glomeromycota; Glomeromycetes; Glomerales; Glomeraceae
Description: SSU rRNA
Rfam family: Eukaryotic small subunit ribosomal RNA
Source: RNAcentral